This 497-nucleotide ribosomal RNA is filed under the name uncultured bacterium. RNAcentral's name for it is "partial 16S ribosomal RNA". It matches the Rfam family "Bacterial small subunit ribosomal RNA", at positions 28 to 507 of the family's 1533-position model. The record is from RNAcentral.
GAUGAACGCUGGCGGCGUGCCUAAUACAUGCAAGUCGAGCGAACAGAUGAGGAGCUUGCUCCUCUGACGUUAGCGGCGGACGGGUGAGUAACACGUGGAUAACCUACCUAUAAGACUGGGAUAACUUCGGGAAACCGGAGCUAAUACCGGAUAAUAUAUUGAACCGCAUGGUUCAAUAGUGAAAGACGGUUUUGCUGUCACUUAUAGAUGGAUCCGCGCCGCAUUAGCUAGUUGGUAAGGUAACGGCUUACCAAGGCAACGAUGCGUAGCCGACCUGAGAGGGUGAUCGGCCACACUGGAACUGAGACACGGCCCAGACUCCUACGGGAGGCAGCAGUAGGGAAUCUUCCGCAAUGGGCGAAAGCCUGACGGAGCAACGCCGCGUGAGUGAUGAAGGUCUUCGGAUCGUAAAGCUCUGUUAGUAGGGAAGAAAAAAUGUGUAAGUAACUAUGCACGUCUUGACGGUACCUAAUCAGAAAGCCACGGCUAACUACGUG